GGUCUGCUGCGGGCAUGUCCAGGCAAGACAAGUCCAGGUUCCCUUAUCUGCACAUAACAUCUGGUGUAAACACUUGUGGGGCUGGUUGGAGAUUCUCCGGGGACCCUUCCGUAUCUGCCUAGGCAUUUUGCUGUCUCCUCCUAAUACGGUAUCUGUACUUAAUUUCUUCUUAUUGCUGAGUAAUAUUCCAUUGUAUGGAUACAUCAAACAUUUUAUUUAUCCAUUCGCCAGGUGAUGGACAUUUGGGUUCUCUCCCACCCAAAGGUGACAGACGUUCUGGUUCUUUCCACCUUUUAACUACUAUUAAUAAUGCUGUUGUAAACAUUUAUGUAUGAGUUUUUGUGCUUGCCUAUGUUUUUAUUUUUCUGGAGUAUAUACUUAUGACUGGAAUUUCUGUGUCAUAUGGUAACUUCAUGCUUAACCCUUUAAGGAGCUGCCAGUUUGUUUUCCAAAGUGGCUGCAUCACUUUACAUUCCCAGCAGCAUCAGAUAAGGGUUUUAAUUUCUUUACAUUUUUCCUAACACUCUUUUUUCUUGAACAAAGAUUUUAUCCUGUGGUGUGAAGUGAUACCACAUGUGGUUUUGAUUUACAUUUUCCUAAUGACUAAUUACAUUAAGCAUCUAUUAAUGUGCUUAUCCAUCUUUAUAUCUUCUUUGCAGAUAUAUCUAUUCAAAAUCUUUGCCCAUUUUUUAAAAUUGGCUUAUCUUGUUAUUUAUUAAUUGCAAUAGUUAUUUAUAUUUCCUAUAUAUGUAAGUCCCUUAUCAGAUACACGCUUUUCAAAUACUUUCUUCUACUUGGCGUCUUACCUUUUCACUUCUUCAUACUGUCUUCUGAGGCACAGCAGUUUUCAAUUUUGAAGUCCAUUGAAUCCAUUUUUCCUUUGGAGUCAUAGCUAAGAAAACACUGGCAAAUGCAGUCACAAAGAUUUAUGCCAGUGUUUUCUUCUGAGGGAUUUAUAGUUUUAGCUUUUACAGUUAACUAUUUUAUUUUGAGUUAAUUAUUAAAUAAGAUAUUUGGUCGAACUUUAUUUAUUUUUUGCUUAUGGAUACCCAGUUGUCCCAGCACCAUUUGUUGAAAAGACUAUUCUUUUCCCAUUUUGUUCUUUUGUUAAGCUUGUAUAAAAUCAAUUGACUGUAAAAGUGCAGGCUUAUUUUUAGAUUGUCAAUUCUUAGCUUGUUUAUGUCUAUUCUUAUGUCAAGGCCCAAUCGAAUUGAAUGGGAAGUUUUUUUCAAUCAUGUUGCAUAUUACCAGUUGUCUUAUGUCAUAAUAAAAAUUAAAUUUAGUGGAAUGUCUGUAACUUCACCUUUUUUGUCACAAAGGAGUCUCUGGCCAGCUUAUACCUUACUUCCUCUAAGACAUGAUCAGACGCCAGGCUUACAAGACACACUUAAUUUCUUUUUUUCUCCAUUCAAGCCUUUAGUCUCUUUUCCAUUGCCUCCCACUAUAGUUACAUUUUCAGUAAGUUUUGGUUACAGGAUCUGCUGACAUAGUCUAAUAUUCAGUGCAGUAUGUUUUACUAACUCAUUAUAAUUCAUAGAACCUUCCAUAGAUGUUUACCAUCUAGGAAGGAGAAGUUUAAGUCUGAGCCACCAGCUUUCCUCAGUGGAAAUCAAGUGAAGUCAUCAUCUUGCAGUUUACAGACCCUCUUUCCUCCUGGUAGCUGGUUCUCUUGGGUAGCACUGUGGCUAAUCCUUUUCUUAGUGCAGAUCUUGCAUUCUCAGAAACCACAGUUCCCUGUAUUGACCUCCUUUUACUGAAACAGAGAUGCACAGCUCUGCUUUCUAUCUCAGUAGAGGAUUCUUGGAAUAAAAGGUUUAACUCAUUCCAAGAAAGUCUUAGGAGUGCAGCACUUCAAAAUCAGGUAACGUUCAGGCAAUUUAUCAGAGACACAUAGUAGAUUAGUAUUUUGACUUUCAAAAUUUCAGAGCCAAGUUGUGUGCUAUAGAGAAGCAUUGUGGCAUAACAUAGAGAUGGGAUGGUCUUAACUUCUCCAUACAAACAAGCUUGGAGUAAGGUAAAGGAGAAAUUGCAUUUGUGUCUUAACACUCAAAAC
This 2053-nucleotide long non-coding RNA is filed under the name Homo sapiens (human). RNAcentral describes it as "non-protein coding lnc-OCIAD2-8:4". Lineage: Eukaryota; Metazoa; Chordata; Mammalia; Primates; Hominidae. The record is from RNAcentral.